Molecule: transfer RNA, 56 nt
Filed under: Metastrongylus salmi
Lineage: Eukaryota; Metazoa; Nematoda; Chromadorea; Rhabditida; Metastrongylidae
Description: tRNA-Val
Source: RNAcentral
AAAUUUUUAGUUUAAUUAAGAAUUAUUCAUUUACAAUGAAAGGGUUGAAAAUUUUU